UUCAAAAAAGAAAAAGAGGGGCUCCGCCGGUGUUCGUUGCGCCUUGGAAAAGCGGGCAGCAAACAAGAAAACGGCCCGCUGCUUUUUGUCCUCCGGCUUGCACUAAGCGGGAGGCGGGCGAGAAGCCACAAUGGCAAAACGUGACAAGAGGCGCACAGCGCUGGUGCAACAGAACUUUGACAGCUUGAAGAGGUUCUAUGCGAUUUCGCCCUUCGCGGCCGCGGAGCGAGCAACUCUCCCGCCUGUAUACUCUGGUGUCUACAGUCGGCGCGCAGCUAUGAAUUCAUACCACGUUGUAGGCUCCUCACGAGACCAGAUCGUCUUGGAAGCCAUGCGCACCUUCACUCCGUCGACGUGCACGAAGGAGGUGCUGGAUUUGUAUCUAGAGGUGGCGGCGCUCGUGUCGCUUUACUUCGACACGAAGGAGCAGCUGCUUGCGCUGCCAGAUGUUUGAGAGCCGUUUUCAGGUGAGCAGAGCACCUUUCCGAAAAAAAAAUAUAUAUAAAAGUCGCAUGCAGCUGGUCAGCGUCGUUCUCGUUUCACACGUGCUUUGCCGUACGCAGAGUGGUUUGGGCCGUCUUGGAGGCCUCUACCGGUAGUCGCCCGCGUACGGUAUCCCCGUUGCCGGCCACAUGGAAUGCGAAAGGUCGAACUGCACUUAGUAAAUCUCUCUCUGUGAAACUCCCUUUUACGGAAUGAACUGCGCUCCCAUUCUCUACGGCGUUUCUCUUUGGCGUGUUACUCGUGUUUUUUUCUCUCGCUGAUAAG
Molecule: unclassified non-coding RNA, 768 nt
Filed under: Leishmania donovani
Lineage: Eukaryota; Euglenozoa; Kinetoplastea; Trypanosomatida; Trypanosomatidae
Description: gene:LdHU3.12.0070(CDS-product:hypothetical_prote in_conserved)
Source: RNAcentral